UGGGAUGUAGUGUAACGGUAACACUGCAGAUUCUGGUUCUGCCUUUGGGGGUUCGAGCCCCUCCAUCCCAG
RNAcentral lists this transfer RNA (71 nucleotides) under Sphaerochaeta sp. RNAcentral's name for it is "tRNA-Gln". It matches the Rfam family "tRNA". Rfam says of the family: Transfer RNA (tRNA) molecules are approximately 80 nucleotides in length. Their secondary structure includes four short double-helical elements and three loops (D, anti-codon, and T loops). Lineage: Bacteria; Pseudomonadati; Spirochaetota; Spirochaetia; Spirochaetales; Sphaerochaetaceae. RNAcentral also lists the same sequence under 1 other name. The record is from RNAcentral.